Nostoc sp. NIES-3756 is the source of this 62-nucleotide non-coding RNA. The record is from Rfam. Lineage: Bacteria; Bacillati; Cyanobacteriota; Cyanophyceae; Nostocales; Nostocaceae.
UGGUAGAUGCACCCUGAUAACUAACUCCCCUAGUUGGCUUACACUGACUGGGGGCUUUUUUU